CGACGUUUAUAGCAUGGGUAUCGUGCUGAUGGAACUCAUUAGUGGAAAAAUGCCAACUGAUGCAACGUUCGGCGUUGACAUGGACAUGGUGAGAUGGGUAGAGAAACGUAUCGAAAUGCAAGGAUCUGCUCGCGAAGAGUUGAUAGAUCCUGAACUGAAACCACUGUUACCAGGUGAAGAAUGUGCAGCAUAUCAAGUGCUUGAAAUUGCACUACAGUGCACUAAAAGCAGCCCACAAGAGAGGCCCUCUUCUCGGCAUGCCUGUGCUCUCCUUCUGCAUUUGUUCCGCAACAGGUUGGUGGAUUUUGAAAAGGUGAACGCAGAUCCUGACGCAUAGUCAAUGACAAUUAUUUCAAGGACUGAAGUUAAAACAGCAAUAAAAGUGUAGCAUCACUUUUUAUUAGUUUUG
This 409-nucleotide unclassified non-coding RNA is filed under the name Hevea brasiliensis (rubber tree). The record is from RNAcentral. Lineage: Eukaryota; Viridiplantae; Streptophyta; Magnoliopsida; Malpighiales; Euphorbiaceae.